RNAcentral lists this ribosomal RNA (223 nucleotides) under uncultured bacterium. RNAcentral's name for it is "partial 16S ribosomal RNA". It matches the Rfam family "Bacterial small subunit ribosomal RNA", at positions 15 to 228 of the family's 1533-position model. The record is from RNAcentral.
GAUUCAUGGCUCAGGAUGAACGCUGGCGGCGUGCCUAAUACAUGCAAGUAGAACGCUGAAGGAGGAGCUUGCUCUUUCCGGAUGAGUUGCGAACGGGUGAGUAACGCGUAGGUAACCUGCCUGGUAGCGGGGGAUAACUAUUGGAAACGAUAGCUAAUACCGCAUAACAGUAGAUAUUGCAUGAUAUCUGCUUGAAAGGGGCAAUUGCUCCACUACCAGAUGG